RNAcentral lists this ribosomal RNA (877 nucleotides) under marine metagenome. Its description in RNAcentral is "bacterial SSU rRNA". It matches the Rfam family "Bacterial small subunit ribosomal RNA", at positions 8 to 866 of the family's 1533-position model. The record is from RNAcentral.
AGAGUUUGAUCCUGGCUCAGGACAAACGCUGGCGGCGUGCCUAACACAUGCAAGUCAAGGAGAACGUCCCCUUCGGGGGACUAUUAAACUGGCGGACGGGUGAGUAACGCGUAGGUAACCUGCCCCAGAGACCGGGACAACCCAUCGAAAGACGGGCUAAUACCGGAUGAUGCAGCGGAUCCUCAGGGAUAUGUUGUUAAAGGGGGCCUUCGGGUCCUGCUUUGGGAUGGGCCUGCGUCCGAUUAGUUAGUUGGUAAGAUAAAAGCUUACCAAGGCGAUGAUCGGUAGCUGGUCUGAGAGGAUGAUCAGCCACACUGGGAUUGAGAUACGGCCCAGACUCCUACGGGAGGCAGCAGUGGGGAAUCUUGCGCAAUGGGCGAAAGCCUGACGCAGCAACGCCGCGUGACUGAUGAAGCUUCUAGGAGUGUAAAGGUCUGUCGUGAGGGAAGAACAGUAUCCAUGUAAAUAGCAUGGGCAUUUGACGGUACCUCACAAGAAAGCACCGGCUAACUUCGUGCCAGCAGCCGCGGUAAUACGAGGGGUGCUAGCGUUGUCCGGAAUUACUGGGCGUAAAGGGUUCGUAGGCGUCUUGCCAAGUUGAUCGUUACAGCCACCGGCUUAACCGGUGAUCUGCGAUCAAAACUGGUAAGAUAGAAUAUGUGAGGGGAAUGUGGAAUUCCUGGUGUAGCGGUGACAUGCGUAGAUAUCAGGAGGAACACCAAUGGCGAAGGCAGCUUUCUGGCUCGAUACUGACGCUGAGGGACGAAAGCGUGGGGAGCGAACAGGAUUAGAUACCCUGGUAGUCCACGCCGUAAACGAUGAGUACUUGAUGUCGGAGGAUUCGACCCCUUCGGUAUCGUAGCUAACGCGAUAAGUA